CGAUAGCGAACAAGUACCGUGAGGGAAAGAUGAAAAGAACUUUGAAAAGAGAGUUAAACAGUACCUGAAAUUGCUGAAAUGGAACCGAUGGGAGGCAGUGUUGGCCGUUGGUCAUUUUGGGUAUCCCGCAUGCGGGUUGCUCGUGUGGCCGAGGGCAAGUCAGGCUUUCUUUGACGAGCGGGAGAGGUCUCAAACCUGUGAGGGUUGAGGGUGCCGUCGCUUGUUGGAGGGACUUUGACGAAAUGCCUCUUAUCACCCCGUCUUGUAACACGGACCAAGGAGUCUAACAUGUGUGCGAGUGCUCGGGGUUCAUCCCCCAGCGCGGAAUUAAUGUGAAGGCGGACCUAGUCCGCUGAGGUAGGAUGCUUCGGCUGCACUAUCGACCGACCAUGAUCCUCCGGGAGAAAGGUUUGAGUGUGAGCAUACAUGUUGGGACCCGAAAGAUGGUGAACUAUGCCUGAGUAGGGCGAAGCCAGGGGAAACUCUGGUGGAGGUCCGCAGCGAUUCUAACGUGCAAAUUGAUCGUCGAACUUGGGUAUAGGGGCGAAAGACUAAUCGAACCAUCUAGUAGCUGGUUCCUCCCGAAAUUUCCCUCAGGAUAGCUGCAACCAAACAGUUUUAUCAGGUAAAGCGAAUGAUUAGAGGCCUCAGGGGUGGAACGUCCUUGACCUAUUCUCAAACUUUAAAUGGGUAAGAGCCCGGGGUUGCUUAAUUGAACCCUGCGGUCGAAUGAUGGUUGCUAGUGGGCCAAUCUGGGUAAGCUAGAUUGGCGAUGCGGGAUGAACCGAACGUCGAGUUAAAGUGCCAAAGUAUCCGCUCACCUAGAUCCCACAAAAGGUGUUGGUUCAUUAAGACAGCAGGACGGUGGCCAUGGAAGUCGGAACCCGCUAAGGAGUGUGUAACAACUCACCUGCCGAAUGAACUAGCCCUGAAAAUGGAUGGCGCUUAAGCGGAUCACUUAUACUCGACCAACACGGCAAGUGCGAGGCCGUGUUGAGUAGGGAGGCGUGGGGCUCGUUGUGCAUUUCGCGGCGCAAGCCGGAAUGAAACGGGCUCUAGUGCAGAUCUUGGUAGUAGUAGCAAAUAUUCAAAUGAGAACUUUGAAGACUGAAGUGGAGAAAGGUUCCAUGUGAACAGUAAUUGGACAUGGGUGAGUCGAUCCUAAGAGAUAGGAGAAUUCUGUUUGAAUGUGGCCCUUUUCCGGAAGGGCCCGGCUAUCGAAAGGGAAUCGGGUUAAUAUUCCCGAACCAGGACGUGGAUAAUGAGUGGCAACACAAGCGAAAUCGGGGACGUUGGCGGGAGCCCCGGGAAGAGUUCUCUUUUCUUCUUAACAGUUCAGUGGACCUUGGAAUCGGAUUGCCCGGCGAUAAGGUUCAGUGGCUGGGAAAGCGGCACACUUUUUGUGCCGUCCGGUGCGCUUCCGACGACCCGUGAAAACCCGGUGGCGUGACUUAUUCGCACCCCUGGUCGUACUCAUAACCGCCUCAGGUCUCCAAGGUGUGCAGCCUCUAGUCGAUAGAACAAUGUAGAUAAGGGAAGUCGGCAAAAUAGAUCCGUAACCUCGGGAUAAGGAUUGGCUCUGAGGGUUGGGCCUAGGGGUCCCUUGAUUGACGGAAGCGGCGGCUAGGAGUGGACUGCGGCCUCGGCUGCGGACCGCACCCGGCUGCUCUCUCGAGGUCUUGGGAACGUCUUCGGACUUUCUCUAGUGCGUGGAACAACCAACUCAGAACUGGAGCGGACAAGGGGAAUCCGACUGUUUAAUUAAAACAAAGCAUUGCGAUGGCUGGAGAC
This 1791-nucleotide ribosomal RNA is filed under the name Paraphysomonas imperforata. RNAcentral describes it as "partial Eukaryotic large subunit ribosomal RNA". It matches the Rfam family "Eukaryotic large subunit ribosomal RNA", at positions 335 to 2175 of the family's 3401-position model. Lineage: Eukaryota; Chrysophyceae; Chromulinales; Paraphysomonadaceae. The record is from RNAcentral.